UAAACCACAGAGCCUAGGACUUGCUGUUCAGAAGGUUGGCGGUUCGAAUCCCCGCGAUGGGGUGAGCUCCCAUUGCUCGGUCCCUGCUCCUGCCCACCUAGCAGUUCGAAAGCACGUCAAAGUGCAAGUAGAUAAAUAGGUACCACUCCGGCGGGAAGGUGAACAGUGUUUCCGUGCGCUGCUCUGGUUCGCCAGAAGCGGCUUAGUCAUGCUGGCCGCAUGACCCGGAAGCUGUACGCCGGCUCCCUCGGCCAAUAAAACGAGAUGAGAGCCGCAACCCCAGAGUCGGCCACGACUGGACCUAAUAGUCAGGGGUUCCUUUACCUUUACCUUUACCCACAAUAGUUAUAGUCUGCCUCCAUGGUAGGGGACAGUAAUAUUUUUGAAUACUUUUGAAGAGGAGGUAGAAGAGAUAGAGGAGAUAUGAUAACCAGCUUUCUUUCUCCUGCUCCGGAGGGUAGGACCUGAACCAAUGGAAUCAAGUUACAAGAAAGGAGAUUCUGACUAAACAUCAGGAAGAACUUCCUGACAAUGAGAGCUGUUUGAAAGUGGGAGGCUGUCAAACCUUCCUUGCAGGUUUUUAAGCAGAGGUUGAGCGGCCAUCUGUCAUGGACACUAGUUGAGAUUCUUGCAUUGCAGGGGGCUGGACUAGAUGAUCCUUGGGGUCCCUUCUAAUUCUAUGAUUCUAUGGCUAUCAGUUGCUCAUUUAUUUAGGGUUUCACCCAUUAGGGCUAUGCUCUGCCUCCAACGUUGGAGACAGCAAUUCUUCUGAAUAUUAGUUACUGGAAACCACAGGAGAGGAGAGUGCUCUUGUGCUUAGCUCCUGCUUGCCUGCUUUCCCAUAGGCAUCUGGUUGGCCACUGUGAGAACAGGAUGUUGGGCUAGAUGGGCCAUUGGUCUGAUCCAGCAGUGAUUUUCUUACGUUCUUAUUUUUUUGCGGCCUUUUCAGAGAAUGGCAGCUGUGGCCAAUUUGUCAGUUUCCAUGCACUGGCUGUCCGUGUAACAAUAUGGGCCUGUGCUAGAGCCAACAUAGGUGUGUAUCUUGCUGUUGCAAGAGCUUCGAAGGAGGUACACAAAAAGCAUAUCCAAACUGGUUUUGCAUGUGCCACUGAUAAACUGAUGAUCAUUAGUGAAGUGAGAGCUCCGGGACAGAACAGGAGGUGCCAUGCUCAAUCCUUGGCAGAGGUGGGGAACAUUUUUCAGCAUGAAGACUUCAUUCCCUUCUGGAGAUCACAUGCCAAUGGUGGGCGGAGCCCAGGGCAAAGGUGGGCGGAGCAAUUAAUGUGAACGUUACCUUCAUGCAAUAGGCUAGUUUCUACACACAGUCACAUGCCCCUCUCUUUCCCCUAUUCAGGCAAGCAAGAGGCCUUAUCAGAGUUCAAGGGCACAUUUCAGCCAGGCAAAAACACUUCACGGGGGCCAAAGCUAGGCCCUGAAAAUCCCUGACAUGUUCUGGGUUUUGGGUGUAAAAAUGGCAUUGGGGAAUUUUGCGAAAUUGGAUGUAUGGCAUGGCAGCACGAUGGGAAAAGCUCCAGAAAGCUCAACAAAUUUGUGGGUGUCAAGAAUUUUACUUUUUCAGAUACGGAAACCCCAGCCAAAGCAUGACUGGGGAGGGAUGUGACCUGGAGAGAGUCUCCAGGGCCAAAUAAAGAAUCCUGGGAGGCUGCAUUUGUCCCUCACCUGGACCUGAGGCUCCCAGUCUGAGUUAAAAGCAUCAGGUAACAUGUACUGGGAAAUAUUUCUGUUUGAGGCCCCAGCGAAUGGCUGUUAAUCACAGAAUCAUAGAACUGUAGUGUUGGAAGGGACCAUGAGGGUCAUCUGGUCACAAGCAUUUGUUCAAAGCUCAUCUGUUUCCCCCCAGUUCAUAACGUGGUGCAUGAAUGCUGAUUUUGCAGCAUGCACGAGCAUUAUCAUAUCUCUCACCUGGAAUUUUAGCAUAAUUAGCUAACUGACUAUUGAAGUGACAGCGGAUGCUCUGUGACACCAUUGCUUGGACAUUCCCUUGGUCUAUCUGUUCACAUAAUCAAGGGUGCAGGACGUUCUAGCGAUGUAGCAGAGGACAACUUGGUAGGACACCUAAAGGAAUAGGACUUGAUGGAAUGGUUUAGACAGGAAAGCAGUUACAUCAGAGAAGAUGUUUAGCAUUGCUAAACCAUCACUAUACUUCUUCAUGUAAUACUUCACUCAAAAAUCAUUACAUGGAAACAAACAGCUUUAAUAACAGCACUGAAAACACUGCCAACUAGAAAUUUGUGUGAUAUUUAAUAGCGCCAUCUGGUGACUCCUCCUCAGUAUUACAAAGCAAUGAAUUAUAAUAUGCUAAGUACUUUGUCAAAAGGGAUGCGGGUGGCGCAGUGGGUUACACUACAGAGCCUAGGGCUUGCCGAUCAAAAGGUCGGCGGUUCGAAUCCCCAUGACGGGGUGAGCUCCUGUUGCUCGGUCCCUGCUCCUGCCAACCUAGCAGUUUGAAAGCACGUCAAAGUGCAAGUAGAUAAAUAGGUACCACUCCGGCAGGAAGGUAAACAGCGUUUCCGUGCGCUGCUCUGGUUUGCCAAAAGCGGCUUAGUCAUGCUGGCCACAUGACCCGGAAGCUGUACGCCGGCUUCCUCGGCCAAUUAAGUGAGAUGAGCGCCGCAACCCCAGAGUCGGUCACGACUGGAGCCAAUGGUCAGGGGUCACUUUACCUUUAAGUACUUUGUCUUGUGGCCAGUUCAGGGACCUUGGUAGCCAUUGGGCUCAGAGGUCAGUUGGGAUCAGGGCCAGAUUUAGGUUUGAUGAGGCCCUAAGCUACUGAAGGUAAUGGGGCCCUUUAUAUGUCCAGCUGUCAUUUGUCAGCAACAAAUUGUCAUUUUUGUGUGUGCUGAAUAUAUGCUAUAUGGGAAUUUAUGGACCUAAUAGGUAUCUAAAGCCCUUUGCAUAUGCAGAAUGCAAACACCCUAUAUAUAGAAAUGAGCAAACUAGUGAUAUUUUAGGGAGCAGGCUACCAGGCAGGGCCCAUUACUUACAUCAUAGGAGCCUACACAACACAAAACACUUGCUGUAUAUAGUUUUUAUUUUAUUUGUUUUUUAUCUUAUAUUUUGGAAAUGUACUUCCAGUUUUUUCCCCUUUAAUUUUUUUGGGGGCCCCCAAGAGAGUGGGGCCCUAAGCUAUAGCUUGUUUAGCUUAUACGUAAAUCUGACACUGGUUGGGAUGCCUGUGUUAACAUUUAGCCUGUGGAUGUUUAAAUGUGCUUUGGAAGGCAUCCCCCCCCCCCCAGUGCAUCCUGCAGUAGUUUAAAAGCUGAGUCAUGUAUAUUAUAGUGGUUGCACACAACUGCUAAAUUAGGGGUAACAUGAACAUAAUGUUCCCAAGGUUGUGCUCCACCCCAAUCUCUGCCAAGUGGUAGCAGAAUUCCAGGGACAUCCAGGCACUUACCCUGGGUCUUGUUUCCAUUGGGAAUCAAGAUGCCACGGAAACUUUUGUGUCUUUAACGAAAUAUGGUGCAUUAACAGAUAUUUACAGCCUGGGUGCAGUUGGGAGAACUGCAGAGUUUACAGAAUUGCAUCUCAAGAGGACUUCGUCCUUCAGCGUUGCAUUCAGAAGCUCUCUAUGCACCUUCUCUGUGCUUCUGCCCCAAUAUCAGGGACCAGCAGGACGCUGACGAAUGUGCACCAGAUGUGGGACUGGAGUCUGAUUCGGGAGAGGGAGUCAGAGAUUUGUGGUGACCUGUACCAGCCAGGAGGCAACAGUCAGAGGCAGGGGAUGCUACAGAGCUGGAAGGUGGAGCACAGGAUGGAUCAGAAGAAGAGGAGGAAGAGAAGCGAAGGACUGGGUGCUUCCUCACCCUCUCCUGUACCACUGCCUCCAGAACCAGGAGGAGAUUGUUUAUGCUGUUGACAGAUAGGGCCAUGAUUAUUAUACUGUAGAAUUCAUUGCAUGGUUAUCUAUAGGGUUGUAACUAUUGACAGUUUUGUUGGUUAUUAUGCUCUCAAUAUGGACCAUUUGUCAUUUUUUAAAAAUUCUUCUGGCUUUUGUUUAAGCCACCUUGAGACCUCUGGUAUAAGGUAAUAGGCAAGUUAAAUUAAUAAAUAAAUUACUCAUGUACAUACACAGCUAAACCUGGAUUUAUUGAGAUACG
Molecule: long non-coding RNA, 4118 nt
Filed under: Podarcis lilfordi (Lilford's wall lizard)
Lineage: Eukaryota; Metazoa; Chordata; Lepidosauria; Squamata; Lacertidae
Source: RNAcentral